RNAcentral lists this transfer RNA (611 nucleotides) under uncultured Prochlorococcus sp. Its description in RNAcentral is "partial contains 16S ribosomal RNA, 16S-23S ribosomal RNA intergenic spacer, and 23S ribosomal RNA". The stretch from base 227 to 299 matches the Rfam family "tRNA". The record is from RNAcentral. Lineage: Bacteria; Bacillati; Cyanobacteriota; Cyanophyceae; Synechococcales; Prochlorococcaceae.
UGGAUCACCUCCUAACAGGGAGACAACAAAAUGUUUAAUAUUAUUAUUUUGUCACCUUAGGUGGAUCGGUAUCUCACGUUUUUAAUUUAUUAAGAAUUUCAUUUCCUAAGUUUUUCUAGGUCACACCCAUUUUUUUUCCUUGGCCAUUAGCUCAGGUGGUUAGAGCGCACCCCUGAUAAGGGUGAGGUCCCUGGUUCAAGUCCAGGAUGGCCCAUAUCUCUAUGUUGGGGGUAUAGCUCAGUUGGUAGAGCGCCUGCUUUGCAAGCAGGAUGUCAGCGGUUCGAGUCCGCUUACCUCCACUGAUCACCACCUCUUCCAUAACCGGUAGAAAGGAAAUUUUUUGAGUUGUGAUCAAAUUCUGAAAGAAUCUAGCUUCCUAAUGAAAUCAUUAAGAUGCUGGACUCAUUGAAUUAAUUUCAUUGUUUUCAGAGAACCUUGACAACUGCAUAGAUUAUUUUUAAAGACAAUAAGCAUCUUUAAUGAUGCAGAUUUAUUAUUUGUGCAAAUGCAUUAAUAACAAUUCUAUUAAGCUGAUGCUUCAAUUUUUGAAGUUAUUGGUCAAGCUACAAAGGGCUCACGGAGGAUACCUAGGCACACAGAGGCGAUGAAGG